GCUUAUUGAUUUUUCCCAGCUAGACUAGUGAGCCUAAUAACAUAGGUCUGCCUACAGACCUUAUUUUGGUCAUAUCCUUGGAUGCAUCAACAAUACUGUUUAUUUCUUCUGGUGUAAUUUAUGGCUGUCAGUGUUACGCAAAUAACCCAGCAAUGACGUGUAGCGAGAUGGAGAGAGUUAUGUUGGCCUGUCUGCAAUGUUCCUAAAUUUCAUCAGGGAAAAAUAAACAGAAAAAUCUCAGGCAACUGAUGUACUGGACGAGACUUCAAUGCAAAUGCAUCUUAUCAUUAUGAAGUUGCCGUAUACAGCCAUUUGUUCAUUCUGGGUCAAAUCUUUCUUUUUUUAUUCCUGUGUGUUCCUAAAUCAGAGAAAUUUGGUGUUCAUGGGUGUGUUAGUGGAGUUCCUGAGCAGUUUGCAGUUUCCCUGCAGUCCCGCAGGGUGACGGGUGCGGGACAGUGCGGAAGCAGACACUUGAGUCUUGUAACACCAUCAAUAGAAGUGCUAGUGAUGAGUGUAGGAUGCAGUGGCAGUCAUUAACGUUAAGCUGUUAAAUGAGACACUUGGACUGAGGUAAUUUGAGUUUCUGGCAGCCAACAGCCGUGGGAGUGACAGAUCCAAGUACCAGAAUGUUGCCUGUCAGUUUGCAGCUGUGUCAUAUUGGCAGUUCCAGCAUUGGGCUCUUUCAUCGUGCUGGCUGGGAGAAGAUGAUGGAAUGGUUUGGGUUGGAAGGGGCCUUAAAGAUCAGCUGGUUCCAGCCCCCUGGUGGUGGAUAUCGGCAUGUACCGUCCAGCAAUGCCUCUCCAGUGGGCAGGGAGCACGUCCUGUACGUCUGCAAAACAGCCACCUGUGUAGUCCUGCUUAGUGGUGGCUGAGACCAACAAGUGCAUUUCUCUCUUGCCUCCCUUGUGGGAGAGGCAGCGGGAAAGCAAGCACAUACUCUUUGCUCUCCUCUUUGUCUGGAUAACUUAGGAUCUCAGUCAGACUAAGGACACUGUUCUCCCAGUAUGGCCCUUGGUGCCCCAGGGCAGCAGGGAGCAGUGGUGAGGUGAGACUCCAACCUGCACAGCUCCUGCUGAAGCUCCCGAGGUCCUUUAUAAGCUCGGGACUUCUUUCUUGUCUGAGAGUAAUGUGGGUAAACUGGAAAGAAGAAACCCAGAAGGGGCCAAGCAUCUGAAAACACUGCUAGCACGUGGGGUGAUAGCAGGCUUCUGUGGGAAGGAACCGCGGCCACUGUCAUGCUGGUAAUUGGGUCCCUGCCUGGAAAAAAUACCAAGUGAGCAGGUCACCCGGGAUGCCAGCGCAGCAGCUCUGUGCCAAGGGCCACAUGUAGGCUGCGCACACAGCCUGGGAGUGCUCGCCUGCCCGAGUCGUGUCUUCUGCAGGUGUUGGCAUAACUUCCCUUCCCUGGAUUUGUUUCUGUUUACAUGGAUGUCUAAAGGCCCGCAUGGCUGGUAAGGAGCAGGAAUUAACUUUUCUUUAAAUGUCAUAGCACAAAACCAAAAGCCUGGUGAAGCUGAAGAAGCCAACCCUGAAGGUUUUCUUUUUCCUCCCUGCUAACUCAAAAGAUGUGGCCUUUUUGGGAAAAUAUAUGCUUAUGCAAUUUGUCCUCAUUUUGGUUCUUGAUAACCAGCACAACUCGGCCAGCAUUGAAUGGAUGGCUGCAAUUAACCCAUGUAAUAGUGUUUAUGGCUCCUUUUGAGAAAGGACUGUUAUUUCUUAGUCAGCGCAUAAGCCUUAUUUUAGGUAAUCAGAAGCCCCAUUUUAAGUGCCAAUGUGAUUUUAAAGGUACUUCAUGAACAUGACAGGAACUCAAAGCAAAGCCUUUGAGAUGCCAGAGGAGACCUGUUAAAAUUACCAGGCAGUUUACCAGUGCCUCAGCAAGGGCAUGUUUGAGAGCAGCAGGUUUUGUGACUUCUGUGAAGUCUUCUUCAAUUUGUGCUAUUCAGACAAACUCAGCAAGGCUGAAGCAUCACGUGCCCUACAUCUGAACCCGUGGUUUUGAAAGCUCGCAUUUUGAGGAAGGGGUUCAAAACAGAAGCCAGAGUUCAGCAACCCCACCCCCUUACACCACUGAAAGUAAGGGAUUGGGCUGCAUUUUCUCAUGCUCUUUGCUUCUCUUGAAGAGCUGAUCUGUCAUUGCUUAAGUGCACAAGCUGUCUUGAAAUAAUAAUAUGCUGCUCAACUACAAGAUGCCAAGAAGCCUGCUUCUUGCUGCUAAUGCAAUACCACAGUUGCUUGUCGGUGCCCUGCCCCAGGCACCACCGUCUGGGGGCUGUGGUGGGAGCUGGAGCCCCACAAUGAGCUCCACCAGAGACCCAAAGCCUGAGUGCUACCUGCGGAGGGAGGAAGGGCCUCCAUCCCUCUCAGGUUGGUGGAUGGGUGUUUGAACAAAGUUCUGCAUCUUAAACCGUGAAUUAUGGCUGCAUUGCAGGUCAACGUUAAUUGACCCCCCCACCACCCAUUUAUGAGACCUUGUUUAACACACCUUAUGCCUCUAAAUGGACUGGGGGGUGGGGGAUGGGGUGGUGGUGUGUGCUUUUAAACAUUUGAGCAAAUGUCUCCUUGUCACUUGAACCCUUGAUUUGAGUGUCAAGUGAUUAUUUGAGAAGCGAAAGAGUUUCAGUGUUUUCAGCAAAAAAAAAAAAAAAGUCAUACCUGCAUGAGACUUAAGAAAACCCAAAACCUAGCUUUUGUGGAAAUUACAAAAAUUAUGGAAGCUGGCUAAUAUGACCCUAGAGAGAGCAGGAAAACAUGAGCUCCAUUAUUACAAAGGAGUGUGUGUAGCUUAAAGAUGUGGUAAUGAGCACUGGUGUGGGUAGUACUGAAAGCAUAUGUUGUAGCACUGUUUAGCAUAUUUUAUGCUUUUCACGUUAUACCACUAUCCUGUGUUUAUACUUAAGCUUGCUAACCCUUUUGGCCUGCUCUCAAGAGUUGGAAAACGAUCAUGCAAACUGCUCACUUGUUUCAGUUUUUCUGCCCAGCUCUGUUAUAUGCCAAGCAACAGGCGUGAAGUGUUUGAUCCUCAAAAGUCUUACCCAGGAGCUUGGCUAGCAGAGAAAUGCUACUUCAAGGGCUGUGUUAAAGAAAUGCUUUGGAUUGGGGACAUUUUUAACUGAAAUGCAGACUUGGUGAAGGCUUCCAGGGAAGGGUGCUUUGCCUGAAGAGUCACCAUCAAAAACCUCGCCCAGCUUCUAAACCACAGAAUUCUUGAAAAGCCUAAUCAUGACAUACAUUUGUACUGAAAUUUGGUCUGAUGCAAACAAGGUCUAUCUGUAUUUGUGCCCCUACCUAGUUUGGUUAACAGCAGGUAUGCGAAAUGCUGGAUGGAAAUGCAUGUGUGAAAAUUCCCCAUCUGAGCUGAUCUCAGAGAUUUAAGUGGAAAAAAUUCCUGAAAACUAGAUUAAGAAACAGUGCCUAAGCAAAAUAAUGCAUCAUUUUGCUGGAGGAGGGAAAGCUGAGAGGGUUUCCCAGGAGCUAAACAUCAGACACAUGGAAGAUAUCGGGUUCUGGGAGUUGUGUCACUGAAAAUUAGACACCUACCAUCAGUCCAGAGUGCAACUCCUCAUCCUGCUCUGCAUCACAGGUUUCAGCGUGGCCAGCAGCCCUGUCUUAAAAACACCCGUGUUUCUCUAACACAACAUCUAUAAAUGGAGCCUGGGACAACUGCAUCAGCAGUCGUAGAAUCUCUCAAGUUGGAAGGGACCUAUAAAGAUCAUUGAGUCCAACUUGAUCGGUGCCUGGCUUGUAGGUACCUGAACUUCAGUGAAGUGGAUCCUACUGAGCAUGAAUGCGCCUGGCUUGAGGCUGCAGCCAGCAUCCGAGACUUGCUGCCUUUUGCCACCAAGUGCCUCCUGCCAACGAUGAGUUUUCUCUCCAGCAGAUGGCCCAGCCAGCCCGCAGGAAGCCAGCCUUUACCUUGCCAUCCCUGGCACUCCAGCUGCAGGGAAGGAUGCAGAGUGUUUAAGUUACACCUUCUUAAAGAGAAGCUGAACUGGAGCAGUGCUAUGUAGCAGCAGACUGACUUGCAACCCUAGUCAUUCUGGGCCACCAGCAUGGUGAGGCACAGACAGCAGAGGGAGGACUGGGGCAGAAGACUACUUCUAAAGUAACUUGUGAGAAAUAAAAUCGCAGCAACUGUUACCCAAUUCUCUGCUGUGUAAAAAAAAGGUGCAAGUCAGACGAUGGUGCUGCGCUGGACCUUUGCUGUUGCGUUCACAUCCACAAGGCACAACACUGGAUUCCAGGAACUCUGAUCCCAAGUGCUGGCUGAGUCUUCCCACAACAUCAGGGCUCUGGGCUUGGGUUUUGAGACUUACAUGCAUGUACUAACCCGUGCAUUGGCUCUAUUUAUGCAACAUCCCUGUCAGGUCCCAGGCACUGGAAUUUUAAGUGGCAUCACAUCAAGGCACAAGGUGAAUAUUCAAGAAAGUGUGAUGGGUCCUGAGAAGUUUAAAGAUUAGUUUUCUGUAUUUCAGUCAAAUAUCUGACUGCAACAUCAUGGCGAUGUAAAUAAAUUUCAGAUUUCACAUGUAA
This is a long non-coding RNA of Falco peregrinus (peregrine falcon), 4533 nucleotides long. RefSeq lists it as uncharacterized. The record is from RefSeq and is a predicted model, not a curated record. The transcript has 3 exons. NCBI's taxonomy places the organism in Eukaryota, Metazoa, Chordata, Aves, Falconiformes, Falconidae.